UUAUUGGCCUUUGCAUACCGGGCACGAACCCAGACUUGGGCUGGGGCCUAACAGUUUUUGGCACCCCAGAUGGGACUGCUGUAGAUAAGCUUUGCCCGGACUAACUGACGACCGGUUUAUCUGCUUCUUCUUAUCAAAAGUCGAGCGCGCCCCGGGAUUUCUUUUCCCGGUGAGACUUUUGUUUCAGGAGAAGCUGGAUCGCUGAGGCGGCAGUAGCCUAACGGUGCAACGCCAUAGAGUGAAAGUAUCAGUAACAGGCACCUGGGUGAGAGGGUAGAAAGGGCAUAAGGCCUACCGUCAGUACGUCUGCCUGGGAUUAUCUCUGUAAGUAUUCUGUCUGGCCCGAGUCCAAGACCAGUGAUUUUUCCCCUGUGAGGACAAGGACUAAAAACAGAUCCCUGGAUCCCAGCAGGUACGGGACGUGCUGCAGACACAGAACCAGUCUCCUACCCCGGAAAAUCGAUUAUUACCUGGAAGUUACGCUCUUGUGAAAGAUUGGAACGAGGAACCACUUCGAGCCAGAUGGAAGGGCCCAUAUAGAGUACUUUUAACGACCCCAACGGCAGCAAAGCUCGAAGGAAUCAAGACUUGGAUACAUUCCAGUCGCCUAAAGCCGGUGGCUGAACCAGAACAAGAAGAAACUCCUGCAAACUCCGGGACCGGAGGCAGAGAACAGUGGAAGGUGGAGCCAAUAAGGGACUUAAAAUUCCUAUUCAAAAGAAAGGAACUUUGAAUAAUUUGUCAAUCUUUGAUCAAGUUUUACAAGCCUUAUUAUGAAAUUGUUCAAGGUUUUAGUGUGGGGCACCCUAAUUUGUCCACUCCUACUUAUAGGAGGGGAAAAUCUUUUACCACAAGAAUUUGACCCUCAGGAAAAUGUCUGGAUUUAUCUGGCCCGGGAAAUAUUAAAUAGAACAGACUUCUGCUUGGCAGGAGGGAUCAAUGCUCAUCUGGUUUUUACCUCAUACUUAAUUGCAGUACCUACCCCUUUGAAAAUUUUACAGAAUUAUACUAUGCUGAAAGAUGUAAAGAAGGAAAAUACAUAUCAGGAUAUAUAUAAGUGGGGGACUAUUGUAAAAGAGAAAAGCAGAGACAUGUUUUCUGUACGGGUUCAGGCAACAGCUAAUGCUUCUGAAUGUUUCUUAAUAGUGAAUUGUACCAGUAAUUGCUUUAAAUUGAACCAAGGUAGAAAAAUCUUCUGUAAUAAGACCAGUCAAAUUGAAUGGAGCAAUCAUAAUUAAUAAUAAUUAUAAAUGCUCCAGAUGAGGGAAAUGUAAGGUUUGACCUAGAAACUACUAUGCAAAGCCUAAGCAAAAGUGAAUGUUGUGUGUCGAAUGCCCAUCUGCAAUGAUAAGGGGCAGACAGUCUUAGAUAGAGGAAGCUUGAAAACAAAAAACAGAAUCAGAGGUACUGGAGCAAAGAGCUCAUUAAAAUACUAAAAAUCACACCCCGAGGCGGGGAAGAUAUAUGCUAAUGGAACAUAUAUGUACGUUAAUGAGAUACAUAGCUAAAACACAGGUAUAGAGACAUGCUCAGUAAAGAACUCCUUGUGUCACUCCUUUAUAACCAAUUAGCAAACAAGGAUGCUUAUGAAGAUUCAACCUCUGGUAUAUAAGGGUCUCAGUAUUGAAUGUGCGUGUGCUUGUCUUGGGAGAUUAUUCCGCUUGCACCUUUUAUUGCUAGCAAUAAAUCAUUUUUUAUACUUUCA
Molecule: long non-coding RNA, 1705 nt
Organism: Alligator mississippiensis (American alligator)
Lineage: Eukaryota; Metazoa; Chordata; Crocodylia; Alligatoridae
Exons: 2
Source: RefSeq, a predicted model, not a curated record